GACGAAGGGGGCUAGCGUUGUUCGGAAUUACUGGGCGUAAAGCGCGUGUAGGCGGUUAUCCAAGUCGGGUGGGAAAGCCUUGAGCUCAACUCAAGAAAUGCACUCGGUACUGGGUGACUAGAGGACCGGAGAGGAUAGUGGAAUUCCCAGUGUAGUGGUGAAAUACGUAGAGAUUGGGAAGAACACCAGUGGCGAAGGCGGCUAUCUGGACGGUUUCUGACGCUAAGACGCGAAAGCGUGGGGAGCAAACAGG
Molecule: ribosomal RNA, 253 nt
Filed under: uncultured bacterium
Lineage: Bacteria
Description: partial 16S ribosomal RNA
Rfam family: Bacterial small subunit ribosomal RNA
Source: RNAcentral